This is a non-coding RNA of Triticum aestivum (bread wheat), 114 nucleotides long. The record is from Rfam. NCBI's taxonomy places the organism in Eukaryota, Viridiplantae, Streptophyta, Magnoliopsida, Poales, Poaceae.
UAUGUACUCCCUUCGUUCCAAAUUACUCGUCGCAGAAAUGGAUGUAUCUAAAACUAAAAUACAUUUAGAUACAUUCAUACCUGCGACAAGUAAUUCCGAACGGAGGAGUACGCU